UGGAAAAAACUUAGUAUUAAAAGGGAGAUAAGGUCAGGACACAGGAAAGAAAUUUUAAGACAGCUUGAUUUCAGCCUAAAGUGUAGAAUAAACUUUUACUGAAGAACACGAACCAAGCCCACCACAUGCAUGCAUACCUUCUUAUAGAGGAAUUUAAAAUCCCUCCCAUUCUAUUUAUGGGCACCAGUUUGAAGAGAGCUAGCACGGAGAAUGAUUCUCACACAAACAGUUUCAAGGAUGGAAGCUCAUCCUUCCACGAUUCCAAAUGCAGCAACAUUUGGACCAAAAAGAAUAUCUUGGAUCUUCAACCGAUGAUGCCUGAUGCCUGAGGCGACAGAGCAUUCAAGACACAAAAAGUACUUGAGUAAGAACGAAGAUACCCAAUCUAAGAGGGCAAAUUACUUGAAGACAAUUUGUUGAAAAGAGAAUUGUUACCAGCAUCCCUGGGUCUGGAGCUCUUUGGAAAUUCUCCUCCUUAUCAGUAUGACUUUCUCCCUUGUCUGGUAAGAAUAUAGUGGAGCAAGACAAUGU
Molecule: long non-coding RNA, 531 nt
Filed under: Sus scrofa (pig)
Lineage: Eukaryota; Metazoa; Chordata; Mammalia; Artiodactyla; Suidae
Description: lncRNA (ENSSSCG00055025611.1)
Source: RNAcentral